CUCAUCUUCUUUUUCUCCUCUUAAAGAAUCGGCCUGUUUGGGGCCCAAACUGGCCCAGUGAAAAGUGCGGGAGCACUCCUGAGGCUUGCACGAUGACGUCGCAUCAUGCUGGGAGCACGCCCGGGAGGUCUGUUCCCCCACUUCCCCACCACCACCAGCCAGCAAAGUGGUGUUAAAGGACGGAAUGUGGUAUUCAGCAAAAGUCCGCUCUGUGCCAAUACAGCACAGGUACUGACAGCAAUAAGAUGCCCACCAUGCCUUUCUAGAAAAGAGAGUUUAAGUAGAUCAACCAAGAUUUGGAGAACGAUGCAAUAAAAACUAAGAACUUUCUUUGUUCAAACAAACUACUGGUGGAUUUAGAGCCAAUCUCUGAAUGGCCAGCCAGCCAGAGACAUGUAAAAAGAUUUCUGCAUGCAAACCCUUCUAUGCAUUUUGAGAAAGAGCAACUGGAACUGCAUCCCUUACGUCUCCAACCUGAAGCCACUGUGAGAGUUCAUGGCUAUGAGAGAUCUGGACCAAGAAUUUCCCAGCUCUUUGCCGCUGCAUUAAGAGUCCUAACCUUUCACUGCAAAAGUCAUACUAUGCCAGCCAAGUAGGUGUGAAGCGAAAGCUGCUACAACCUUCAAGCUGGAUCACAGGCACACAACAUGGGCUGCCCAGGAAGACCACUCGUAGAUGUCGAUAAACUACAUUGGCUGGCAGUUCGUUUCAGUCUUCAACUGCUAACUGGGACCCACAUAUCUGAAGAACCACCUCUCCAUCUGGAGCCAUUGCACUAUCUCCGUUCUUCUUCACCACUUCCAUCUAUCUACGGCACCUUUGUUCUGGAUUUCUGUUGGUUAUAUUAGUUAACAGAGUGCUGGAUUUGCGCAAUGGAUAUAAUAAGUACACACAUGUUUAGCUCUAUAAAAAUACUUUACUACAUAAUAGGAAAAAAAGGUUACUUUGGUAGAAAAUACAGAAUGGCUAUCUGGCUACAUCUUACAGCUUAAAGAGACUGACUGUUGAGACUGAACAAAGAGCAAUAAAACUUCAGUAUAUCUUUUUAGCUAAUUGUCCCCCCCCCCCGCCAAAGAAUCCCACAUCUACUUCAUUAAGCAUAUGGACUCCCUUUUCUAUGGCGGGAAAUUUAACUCAAUAGCUAAGUGGUUACAUGCAAAUAAGUUGACUAACUAACAUAAACAACAGUUUAACUCUUUCAUGACUGAACACAGAACACUUGCUAAUUCCCAGCAAUUUCCUCCAACAAACUCAUGGUGGCAUGUCCGGUUCUCCCUUCCGUACUUUAUCCCCAUAGCAGCACUAUCAAGCAGGUUAGGCCAAGAGAACGUGGCUCACCCAGACUACAUGAACUGGGUAGAGUGUGAAGAUGGGCACUCAGGUCUCCCAAGAGGCCAGUCUGAUGUUCUACCCACUAGUUACACUGGCUCUAAUUUCUGGUCUCAGUUCCUUCCUGAAGAGCAAGGGCUUUAAAUGGGGUACGAAUUGCAGUCACAUAUCUGCCUUUCACUUGGUUUAAAAUUCUGAUGCUUUAAUUGUGACUCAGGCUGCCUUGAGUGAAAAGGGGAGGCACAAUAUAAAUAAAUAAAAAACAGAUGGGCAAGAGCCUUGCUGUUUUUUCCCGGCGGUGACAAACUUCUAUGGAUCAGAAGAUUUUAAGGCAGUGAUAUCCUGGAGGGCUGAUGCUUUGAGUUACUAGAUGUUGUUUUAUUGGUAUUGAUGAGAGUGAGGAAUUGGUUAUUGUAGAUGGGCUGGAUCUAGCACAAGGUCCCUGUGAGGACUAUACAAGGAGAACAGCUUUCCCCUGACCCAUAGCGGUCAUUGCCGAUCCCAGGAAAGGCAACAAGGAGCAAUUCCACUCCCUUCCUCUUCUGCAGCUGCAGCCCCUCCAACUUGUGAAGCCGCUACUUCACACGGGUCCUGCCACCCAGGAACAGGCUUUUCCAAGUUCAGAAACUGCUGCUGGGUAAAAGGGAAAGUAAAGAACAUGAGCAACCAUUCAACCUACUUUGUCUACCCUAUGGGCUUAGUGGUAGGCCCGGGGAAAGCCACAGCCUAUGGCAAAAGGAAUGGUGGCAUUUCUUAACAUGCUACUGGACUCAAGUCUUGCUCUGCUACUGCAGACCAACGCAGCUACCCAUCGGAAACAUAUUAUUUUAUGUAUAGGUUUGGCAUAUGGAAAGGUGGAAGAGUGGCCUACAAAUAAUUUAGUUAAGAUCUUGGGAAAUGCCUCUGUUAUAGACUGGUACAGAACUUUUGUUCACAAAAAUGUGGCUUUCAUUAAGGCCAUCUAACACCCCUUGAAAUGAAGAGGAAUAAA
Eublepharis macularius is the source of this 2320-nucleotide long non-coding RNA. RefSeq lists it as uncharacterized. NCBI's taxonomy places the organism in Eukaryota, Metazoa, Chordata, Lepidosauria, Squamata, Eublepharidae. The record is from RefSeq and is a predicted model, not a curated record. The transcript has 3 exons.